CCUGACCAGGACCAGGGUGACCACAGGCUCCCAGAGGAGCGAGCUGGGCGCCCAGGCAGAGGCUCCCUCUGACGUGGCAGGCAGAGCAGCAGGGAGAGGAGGUGGACGGCACCGGGGAGCAAAGCUGAGAGUGAUGCAGCAACAUGGCGGCAGGUGGGCGGAGGCGGGAAGGUUACUGGAGCCAUCGGUGCAGCGGCUUCACAGAUGAGCUCCAGAGACACUCAGCAGCCGGAGCUGGAUGUGAAGAAGUCAAACCUGUAAACACAUUCCAGAUUCAGCACCACAUGUUCAGUCCGUAUCGCACGGGGCCGUAUCCCCCGCCUGCCUCUGGAGCGACUCACAUACCUGCUCCACAUUCCUCACAUGCAGCCGCCUCACUGAGGAAUGACCAGUGGGACAGAAGGAGCUCAGUCUGCAGCUCUGACCAAGCCAGCAGAAACAUCAGGCGUCCCGUUCAUGUGAUCAUCCAUAAGAACAAGCCGUCAUUCACAGCAAACUGCAGCGUUUGAGAACAGAGAGAAGAGAAGUUACUGAGCAGACAUGAUCUCUGAGGUCAGGCUGGUGUGGAGCCCCGAGGAACAGCUGAAUCUUCAUCCAGCAUUAUAGGAGGUAAAUAUUCCCUCAUAGUGAGGAGCAUGAAGCGCUCAUUGAACCUGAACAGAACCUGAAUUCUGCUGCAUCUCUAAAACAUCAGAUCUGAACUUACCGAUGCAGAAAAUGCUUAUGUUCAUUCUUGAAGUUAAAUGUUUCUAUAAUCACAAACAUAGCUCCUCCUCUGAAGAUGGUGAAAAGCAUCAUGCUGCAGCAUCAUGGCUCCCCUCAGAGUCGAAUCCAUCAUUUUAUCUUGAUCAUCUCAUUCUUUGACUCUGCUGUGAAGCACGUCUGAAAUAAACCAGACGCCUGAGAGGAUUUCUCUCCUUAUUGAAUGAAACUCUGGACACCGUUGUCUGUUCUGUGGAUUUUAUGCCUCAGCGCUAAAGAGCCUGUUGAAUUAAUUAGCAUUUUCCCCUCCUGUGGUUAAAAGCCUGGUUUCUCCAUCAGAUUCUUUUUAAUUAGGUUUUUCCUACUCUUUUGUUUGUCUGAACCACUUGGAGCCAAACUGAUGCUCCACUCUGUUUAGAGUAAAGCAAAAUGGAGCCAUGAAACAUUUAUGUCCUGCUGGUUUUCCAACAUGUGCUCUGAUAAGGUGACUGUUCCUCCUGAAGUGACCCCUCUGGCUGAGGAGAGCUGAGGAAACCAUGAAGGAGGAGCAGAAUGAGGAGUAGGAGCCGUUCAAAGGAGAGCUACACCCUGUAAUUAUCCCAAUCACACCUUCUCCUCUGCUGUCUUCUGUUAUUGUUUUAUCCUCUUCACUUGUUGAACCCAGCUGCCACAUGAGCAGCUCU
Long non-coding RNA from Cyprinodon variegatus (sheepshead minnow), 1385 nucleotides. RefSeq lists it as uncharacterized. The record is from RefSeq and is a predicted model, not a curated record. NCBI's taxonomy places the organism in Eukaryota, Metazoa, Chordata, Actinopteri, Cyprinodontiformes, Cyprinodontidae. The transcript has 3 exons.